RNAcentral lists this ribosomal RNA (343 nucleotides) under uncultured soil bacterium. Its description in RNAcentral is "bacterial SSU rRNA". It matches the Rfam family "Bacterial small subunit ribosomal RNA", at positions 26 to 367 of the family's 1533-position model. The record is from RNAcentral.
AGGACGAACGCUGGCGGCGUGCUUAACACAUGCAAGUCGAGCGGUAAGGCCUUUCGGGGUACACGAGCGGCGAACGGGUGAGUAACACGUGGGUGAUCUGCCCUGCACUCUGGGAUAAGCCUGGGAAACUGGGUCUAAUACCGGAUAUGACCUGCUCUCGCAUGGGGGUGGGUAGGAAAGAUUUAUCGGUGCAGGAUGGGCCCGCGGCCUAGUCAGCUUGUUGGUGGGUAAUGGCCUACCAAGGCGACGACGGGUAGCCGACCGUGAGGAGGGUCGACCGGCCACACGUGGGACUGAGACACGGCCAGACUCCGUACGGGAGGCAGCGAGGUGGGAAUAGUUG